CCUCUUCCUGCUUUUCUCAGUUCUCCGUUCUGCUUUUCCCUGCUCCCGCGUUACUCAUGUUGGAUUUACAUUUCUGUUUUAUGUAUAGAUGCAGUUGCACCUGUGCAGUCUGAGUCACACAGUUCCAGUUUGUUUUUAACCGUAUCUGUUUGUGGACUUUGCUCUUUACUCGAUUUCUUUCUUCCUGCGUGUUUCCUGUUUGUGUCUCACUGCUUCCCUCACAUCUCCCUCAGCAGCCUUUUCCUGCAUUACUUCUUAACAAAAGUUUCAUUUCUUGGUCAUGGAUGAUUUCGUAAGAAACAAACUGGUUGAAUGGGGGCUAAGUGAGUGGGUGGAAAAAUUUAAAGAUGAACAAAUUGAUGCGGAAAGUCUGUAUGAGCUUGAUGAUCGAGAAAUUGAUAAUUUGAUCCCAAAAGCUGGACCAAGAGUGAAAUUCAAGAAGAACCUCAAGCUGUUAAAGG
Oreochromis niloticus (Nile tilapia) is the source of this 461-nucleotide long non-coding RNA. RefSeq lists it as uncharacterized. The transcript is spliced from 3 exons. NCBI's taxonomy places the organism in Eukaryota, Metazoa, Chordata, Actinopteri, Cichliformes, Cichlidae. The record is from RefSeq and is a predicted model, not a curated record.